AGAAGCAGAUGCCAGCACCACGCUUCCUAUACAGCCUGCCAAAAUCAUCCCGCCUCCAGAGCCCUGUGGGUUGAAGACCGCUGUGCUCUUUUCUUUCGGCUUCACACGCUGGUUAGUCUUCUGUUUGCUUUGUCAGCACGGUACUUUUCAUUUCCUUCGUGGUGUUUUUAGGAGCUCCUGAAUUUCACAGACAAAUCCAGACCCCUGUGUGGAAAGCCUGCGGUGGUGUUCUCCGUCUUCCCACAGGACUCCCUGCAGCCAGGAAUUCUAGGGGAGCACCUGACGCGAGGUAUACGCCCAGAUGGCCUGAAGUAACUGAAGAAUCACAAAAGAAGUGAAAAUGUCCUGCCCCGCCUUAACUGAUGACAUUCCACCACAAAGGAAGUGUCAAUGGCUGGUCCUUGCCUUAACUGAUGACAUUCCACCGCAAAAGAAGUGAAAAUGGCCGGUCCUUGCCUUAACUGAUGACAUUACACCACAAAAGAAGUGAAAAUGGCCGGUCCUUGCCUUAAGUGAUGGCAUUACCUUGUGAAAGUCCUUUUCCUGGCUCAUUCUGGCUCAAAAUCACCCCCACUGAGCACCUUGUGACCCCCACUCCUGCCCGCCAGGGAACAAUCCCCCUUUGACUGUAAUUUUCCUUUACCUACCCAAAUCUUAUAAAAUGGCCCCACCCCUAUCUCCCUUUGCUGACUCUCUUUUUGGACUCAGCCUGCCUGCAUCCAGGUGAUUAAAAGCUUUUAUUGCUCACACA
RNAcentral lists this long non-coding RNA (751 nucleotides) under Homo sapiens (human). Its description in RNAcentral is "HSALNT0024977". Lineage: Eukaryota; Metazoa; Chordata; Mammalia; Primates; Hominidae. The record is from RNAcentral.